RNAcentral lists this ribosomal RNA (695 nucleotides) under uncultured Bacteroidota bacterium. RNAcentral describes it as "bacterial SSU rRNA". It matches the Rfam family "Bacterial small subunit ribosomal RNA", at positions 32 to 714 of the family's 1533-position model. The record is from RNAcentral. Lineage: Bacteria; Pseudomonadati; Bacteroidota.
AACGCUAGCUACAGGCUUAACACAUGCAAGUCGAGGGGAAACGACAUCGAAAGCUUGCUUUUGAUGGGCGUCGACCGGCGCACGGGUGAGUAACGCGUAUCCAACCUGCCCACCACUUGGGGAUAACCUUGCGAAAGUAAGACUAAUACCCAAUGAUGUCUCUAGAAGACAUCUGAAAGAGAUUAAAGAUUUAUCGGUGAUGGAUGGGGAUGCGUCUGAUUAGCUUGUUGGCGGGGUAACGGCCCACCAAGGCAACGAUCAGUAGGGGUUCUGAGAGGAAGGUCCCCCACAUUGGAACUGAGACACGGUCCAAACUCUUACGGGAGGCAGCAGUGAGGAAUAUUGGUCAAUGGGCGAGAGCCUGAACCAGCCAAGUAGCGUGCAGGAAGACGGCCCUAUGGGUUGUAAACUGCUUUUAUAAGGGAAUAAAGUGAGUCUCGUGAGACUUUUUGCAUGUACCUUAUGAAUAAGGACCGGCUAAUUCCGUGCCAGCAGCCGCGGUAAUACGGAAGGUCCGGGCGUUAUCCGGAUUUAUUGGGUUUAAAGGGAGCGUAGAUGGAUGUUUAAGUCAGUUGUGAAAGUUUGCGGCUCAACCGUAAAAUUGCAGUUGAUACUGGAUAUCUUGAGUGCAGUUGAGGCAGGCGGAAUUCGUGGUGUAGCGGUGAAAUGCUUAGAUAUCACGAAGAACUCCGAUU